AACAGCUGACCUCCUCAACAGAUAGUAAACGCACACAUCUGUGUUCUCUACAAGAGCCACAGACUCCAACCUGGCUGAUGAGUCGAUCCAGUCCGCCCUAGAGUGAUGCCGUGUGCAGCACGCCUGGUCCUUUGCGGCCCCGUGCAGGCGAUGAUCUCGCCCCAGUCGAGUGUCUGGCUUCGGUCGGCUCUUCUGGGUGGGUGGUUCUGGACGUCUGACAGGU
This 223-nucleotide small nucleolar RNA is filed under the name Hortaea werneckii EXF-2000. Its description in RNAcentral is "Fungal small nucleolar RNA U3". It matches the Rfam family "Fungal small nucleolar RNA U3". Rfam says of the family: Small nucleolar RNAs (snoRNAs) are involved in the processing and modification of rRNA in the nucleolus. The record is from Rfam by way of RNAcentral. Lineage: Eukaryota; Fungi; Ascomycota; Dothideomycetes; Mycosphaerellales; Teratosphaeriaceae.